CUCGCUUGAGACCGGUGGUGUUCGAUUUGAAGGACUUUGGAGGUGUCGGCAAUGGGGUCACGGACUCACGGUUGACACCGAGGCGUUUGAGAGAGCGGUGGUGGAGAUUUGCAGCGUAACGCAUUGGCUGGCUUGCCUGAGAUUCUUGUCACCACACCUGCUUGUAUUCCUAAGUGUUUUGCAGAUGGGGUUUUAGAUCCCGCAGCUAUCAGUGAAUCGCUUGAGAUUUUGGUUCUUGAUGAGAUAAUCAAGUAGUAUAACUGUCUUGAACGGUGGAAACAUGUUUGAAAAAUGUUGUCUUGAGAAGUUGUCUUGAGAAGUUGUCUUGAACGGUGGAAACAUGUUUGAAAAAUGUCAGUUCUGAUGUUGAGAAAUUGAAGAAAUUGAUUCUGCACAACCCGGUAGUCUUGACCUUGCAAGAAGGUUCUGACAAGGAAGAGCCCGUCCCAAGUAAUGUGCAGCAGUUUUGGAUUUCUUGCAGUACUCAGGAUAAACUACUACACAUUCUUGCUCUCCUGAAGCUAGAGGUUGUUCAGAAGAAAGUUCUGAUAUUCAUCAAUACUAUUGACAUGGGUUUCAACGGCCAUUGACACCGGUGAAAAGUGAUUGGACUCUCUUGCAACACACAGGUAUUGAGAGCAUCCGUGUCACGUACUCACGGAUUUCUUCUUAUUUCACCAAACGUUCCAUGUUAAGUUCUUUCUUCUUUCUUCUAUCUCAAGUUUUUUAUCUAAACACAAGAUCAAACGAUUCAAAUUAUUUAUCUAAACACAAGUUCUAGCUCAAACUCUUUCUUCCAUCUCAAGUCUUAUAAAACAAGAAAAAUCCUACCAAUAAUCUUUAAUUUAUGGAUUGUCCUUAGCUUUGUCUUUUAAUAUAAAAGUAAUAAUAAAAUAUGUUAAGGACUUAAAAAUUGUCCUACCAAUAAUGUUGCCCUAAUGGAGAGAGGU
Molecule: RNA transcript, 950 nt
Organism: Brassica napus (rape)
Lineage: Eukaryota; Viridiplantae; Streptophyta; Magnoliopsida; Brassicales; Brassicaceae
Gene name: DEAD-box ATP-dependent RNA helicase 16-like
Exons: 4
Source: RefSeq, a predicted model, not a curated record